Physeter macrocephalus (sperm whale) is the source of this 1211-nucleotide long non-coding RNA. RefSeq lists it as uncharacterized. The record is from RefSeq and is a predicted model, not a curated record. The transcript is spliced from 6 exons. Lineage: Eukaryota; Metazoa; Chordata; Mammalia; Artiodactyla; Physeteridae.
CUUAGCCGGGGGCUGACAGCUCCCUCCCCGAGGGGCCACGUGGGCGCUAAUGGUGACCAGCUGUCGCCUCGGAGCCUCUGUGCAAUUGACGCAUCUCGGAGGCCACGGUCACGUCCCGAGAGCAGCACAACAGAGACGAAGGACCAUCAGGAACUCUCCAGAACCUGUCGCCGGGCCUCUGCGGGCGAGGAGCUCUGUCCACCUUUUGGAAGGUGGAAGUGACCAGACUUUAAAGAGGCCGUCUUGCUGACUGAUCUAAAUCUGGCCUAAUUCCAGAAAGGUCGAAGACAGCCCUCCACUGGUGACACAUGUGAGUACAGAGUGGACACUCACCCAGGAAAGUCCCUCGGGACCCCAGGCCUCCCCGGAGUUCCACAUUUUCAUUAAAAGCUCCUUUACAACCUCCGGCAGGGGUCUUAUCCUUGGAGCCAGUAGGCUGACAGAGACGCAGGCAGGGGCACAGGAAAUGUCUUCCUCCUCUGUAUUCAGGCUUGCCCGGCUCUGCGGGGCCCACCGGUCCUCGGCCUGGAGCAGGGCCCCCUCGGACACGCGGUCUGCUUGUUGGAAGCUCAUCGUUCAAGCCCAGCCGAGGAUUUUGGAAUAUGAGACUUCCUUAAAUUAAGCCUCAUCAGGCAGCGAAAACCAAAUUUAACUAACAGCGUCACGAGGUUAUGGAGACUACUCUGACGUAUCGCCAGAGGAUUCAUGUUCCAGACGAGUCCUGUCAGCUGCGGUGUCAUCAGAAAAUCUCUGGCAGCCGGAGCGGAGGGCGCUGGUCUCUGCCCCACUCACCGUAUUGAUCCAAAGAAGAUUUUCCACGUUACGCGGCUCCAAACCGAGCAUCCGCGACACCACCGUGACAUCUCAUCGCGAUGGUCAUGGGGGCACGGGGCUCUCACGGGCUUGCCCUCUGUGCCCCCAACUUGGGGACCCCAGGCCGCCCUUUUAAAGAGCACGCUUGACCCCUGGGUGGCGGCAGCUUGGCUGGGAGGCCCGGGCGCUGAGCGCCCCCGGGGGCUCCAGGUCAGCGCGAGGCUGACCCCCGGCCUCCAGAUGGGUCCGCACCCAAGGCGUCGCGUCGGCGCCCUGGUUUCCCCUGCAUCCUGGCCCCCAGGGGUGCCGUCAUCUUAAUGUCCCCGCUGACAAUUUGCCCCCCAAAGGAGGCUCGCUUUUGUUGACAGAGGAAGCCCACAAUAAAUUAUUUAUUUUGA